AUGGCAGCAAGUUCCAGCUCACAAGGACGGCGGGGUAAGGAGACUGCGGAUGAGUUGUUGGCUCGGCUGAACUUACAGGAGGAGGAGGAUGAUGACUUCAUUUGGGAAGAAGAAUUGCCGGACUUGGGGGUGCCGGCGAAGUGGCUCGCUAUAGCCCGGGUGCAUACACCAAAAUCUUUUAGCCCUAAUAAUGCUCUGUACGGGGACAUGCGAGCGACAUGGAACCCCACGAGGACUGUGGUGUGGAGGAAGAUCAAAGAUAGUCUGUUCACAGCCCAGUUUGGUUGUCUCGGUGAUUGGAACAAAGCAAUGUUGGAGGGACCCUGGCUGUUCAGAGAUCAUGCGGUAAUCAUGAAGGAGUAUGAUGGAUUCAAGAAGCCCGAGAGUGUUGUCCUGGACAAGCUGUCGGUCUGGGCUCAAAUACAUGUUCUCCUGGAUAAUUUCCUUAUAGAACGGGCAGUCAGGGGAUUGGCGUCUCGCAUCGGGGAAGUGGAGGAGGUCCAGUUGAAACUCCCGGCAGGUUUCUGUGGGGAGUUCGUCCGGGUCAGAGUGAAAAUUGAUAUAAAUGCCAAGAUAAAAUGUUUUGUUACGGGGACGAAAGGAGAAGAAAGGGUGAGAUACGAAGUGAAGUGUGAGAAACUCCCAAUCUUUUGUUAUAACUGCGGUGAAUUUGGCCACUGGCAUGAGGAGUGCGGAGAUGGAGUUCAUGAUGAGUCCACUUUUGAAUGGGGGGAGUUUGUUUUAGCUAACAAUGUGAGCUUCAGGCCUGUUGGCCGAGGGAAUUUUGGCACCCAGCAAGGCAGAGGAGGCCCCGGGAGGUCAGGGGGGUGA
This 831-nucleotide ribosomal RNA is filed under the name Triticum aestivum (bread wheat). RNAcentral's name for it is "partial small subunit ribosomal RNA". Lineage: Eukaryota; Viridiplantae; Streptophyta; Magnoliopsida; Poales; Poaceae. The record is from RNAcentral.